UAUGGGGCAAUAAAUUGGAUGCUAUGGGGCACUGCGGGGCUCUAUGUAUGCGGCAUUAUAGGGCUCUAUGGGUUCUGCUAUGGGUGCUAUGGGUUGCUCUAUGGGUCACACUAUGGGUCCAGCUAUAGUUCGCUCUGGGUCCCGCUGUGGGUCCCACUAUAGGGCUCUAUGGGUCCAGCUCUGCGCCCCGCUACGGAUCCCGCCGUGGGUCACACUACAAGCCACACUACGGGUCGCACCGUAGGUCACACUACGCGUCCCACUACGGGUCCAGCUGGGUCACACUACGGCUCCCGCUGUGGGUCAAACUACGUGUCCUACUACGGGUCGCAACGUGGGUCACACUACAGAUCACACUACGCGUCCUGCUACGGGUCCCACUACAGAUCCCGCCGUGGGUCCCACUACGAGCCACACUACAGGUCCCACUACAGGUCCCGCCGCGGGUCGCACUACGGGUCCCGCUAUGGGCCAUACUACGGGUCCCGCCGCGGGCCACACUACGUAUCACACUACCCAUCCUGCUAUGGGUCCCACUACGGAUCCCGCCGUGGGUCAAACUACGGAUCCCGCCGUGGGUCAAACUACGGAUCCCGCCGCGGCUCAAACCACGCGCCCCUCCGCGGCCGCCCGGCGCUCACCCCGUGCGUCGCGCCGCUCCCCGCGCUCCACGUCGGCCCUCCUCCGGAUGAGGAACCUCCUGGCGCAGCCGUCCCUCGCCCUCCAGCCCUCGUGCAGCAGCACGGGCCGCUCGUCCGCCCCCAGCACCCGCACGAACUGCGGCUGCCACGCCCCCCCCGCGCCCCCCGCCCGCCCCACGGCGUCGCACAGCACGAAGUCGUCGCCGCCCCCGGCGCUCAGCCCGUAGCGCUCCAGCGCUUCCCGCAGCAGCUGCCGCGCCGUGCAGCCCCUGGUGGCCAGCACGCUCUUGUAGUUGGCGCCGUAGCUGAUGUCGGCCCCGAAGAUCUUCAGCACCACGGGGGGGGGCUGCUGGGGGGGCGGGGCGCCGCGGCCGGGACCGCCGCCCCCACCGCCGCCCCCUCCCCGGCGCCGCCGGCCUCCGUGGUCGUCGUCGCCCCGCUCCUCGUCCUCGUCCUCCUCUUCGUCCCCGGCGGGGGGGGAGGAGAGGUCGCAGAGUUUUUUCUCGCUCACCCAGCGGCGGUUGGGGCUCUGCGGGGGGGGGGGGG
RNAcentral lists this long non-coding RNA (1187 nucleotides) under Phasianus colchicus (ring-necked pheasant). Its description in RNAcentral is "lncRNA (ENSPCLG00000020124.1)". Lineage: Eukaryota; Metazoa; Chordata; Aves; Galliformes; Phasianidae. The record is from RNAcentral.